UACGUAGGGGGCAAGCGUUGUCCGGAAUCAUUGGGCGUAAAGCGCGUGUAGGCGGCUCGAUAAGUCUGCUGUGAAAGUCCAGGGCUCAACCCUGGGAUGCCGGUGGAUACUGUCGGACUAGAGUACGGAAGAGGCGAGUGGAAUUCCCGGUGUAGCGGUGAAAUGCGCAGAUAUCGGGAGGAACACCAAUUGCGAAGGCAGCUCGCUGGGACGUCACUGACGCUUAGACGCGAAAGCGUGGGGAGCAAACAGG
RNAcentral lists this ribosomal RNA (253 nucleotides) under uncultured bacterium. Its description in RNAcentral is "partial 16S ribosomal RNA". It matches the Rfam family "Bacterial small subunit ribosomal RNA", at positions 524 to 776 of the family's 1533-position model. The record is from RNAcentral.